AACGCACAUUGCGCCCCUCGGUACUCCGGGGGGCAUGCCUGUCCGAGCGUCAUUGAAAACCGUCAAGCCUGGCUUGGUCUUGGGCGCGGUCUCGGGACCCGCCCGUCCCCCCCGAAGAGUUGACCUCGGAUCAGGUAGGAAUACCCGCUGAACUUAA
This 157-nucleotide unclassified non-coding RNA is filed under the name uncultured fungus. RNAcentral describes it as "partial contains 5.8S ribosomal RNA, internal transcribed spacer 2, and large subunit ribosomal RNA". The stretch from base 1 to 52 matches the Rfam family "5.8S ribosomal RNA", at positions 103 to 154 of the family's 154-position model. The record is from RNAcentral. Lineage: Eukaryota; Fungi.